CCCAUAGAUGUUCUGGGCCGCACGCGCGCUACACUGAUUCAUGCAACGAGUUUUGUCCUUGGCUGAAAGGCCUGGGUAAUCUUUGAACGUGAAUCGUGCUGGGGAUAGAUGAUUGCAAUUAUUCAUCUUCAACGAGGAAUUCCUAGUAAACGCAAGUCAUCAGCUUGCAUUGAUUACGUCCCUGCCCUUUGUACACACCGCCCGUCGCACCUACCGAUUGAAUGGUCCGGUGAAAUCUUCGGAUCUGAGAGAUGUUGGAUUAAUUUCUGACGCCUUUUGGAAAAGUCGCUUAAACCUUAUCAUUUAGAGGAAGGUGAAGUCGUAACA
RNAcentral lists this ribosomal RNA (327 nucleotides) under uncultured eukaryote. Its description in RNAcentral is "partial 18S ribosomal RNA". It matches the Rfam family "Eukaryotic small subunit ribosomal RNA", at positions 1470 to 1796 of the family's 1831-position model. The record is from RNAcentral.